RNAcentral lists this ribosomal RNA (253 nucleotides) under uncultured bacterium. RNAcentral's name for it is "partial 16S ribosomal RNA". It matches the Rfam family "Bacterial small subunit ribosomal RNA", at positions 524 to 776 of the family's 1533-position model. The record is from RNAcentral.
UACGGAGGGUCCAAGCGUUAUCCGGAAUCAUUGGGUUUAAAGGGUCCGUAGGCGGUUUUGUAAGUCAGUGGUGAAAGCCCAUCGCUCAACGGUGGAACGGCCAUUGAUACUGCAAGACUUGAAUUAUUAGGAAGUAACCAGAAUAUGUAGUGUAGCGGUGAAAUGCUUAGAGAUUACAUGGAAUACCAAUUGCGAAGGCAGGUUACUACUAAUGGAUUGACGCUGAUGGACGAAAGCGUGGGUAGCGAACAGG